AGUGAACGCUGGCGGUAGGCCUAACACAUGCAAGUCGAACGGCAGCACGGGAGAGCUUGCUCUCUGGGUGGCGAGUGGCGGACGAGUGAGGAAUACAUCGGAAUCUACUCUGUCGUGGGGGAUAACGUAGGGAAACUUACGCUAAUACCGCAUACGACCUACGGGUGAAAGCAGGGGACCUUCGGGCCUGCGCGAUUGAAUGAGCCGAUGUCGGAUUAGCUAGUUGGCGGGGUAAAGGCCCACCAAGGCGACGAUCCGUAGCUGGUCUGAGAGGAUGAUCAGCCACACUGGAACUGCGACACGGUCCAGACUCCUACGGGAGGCAGCAGUGGGGAAUAUUGGACAAUGGGCGCAAGCCUGAUCCAGCCAUACCGCGUGGGUGAAGAAGGCCUUCGGGUUGUAAAGCCCUUUUGUUGGGAAAGAAAUCCAGCUGGCUAAUACCCGGUUGGGAUGACGGUACCCAAAGAAUAAGCACCGGCUAACUUCGUGCCAGCAGCCGCCGUAA
This 505-nucleotide ribosomal RNA is filed under the name uncultured bacterium. Its description in RNAcentral is "partial 16S ribosomal RNA". It matches the Rfam family "Bacterial small subunit ribosomal RNA", at positions 29 to 523 of the family's 1533-position model. The record is from RNAcentral.